RNA transcript from Impatiens glandulifera, 4237 nucleotides. It is a transcript of the gene named presequence protease 1, chloroplastic/mitochondrial-like, with no coding region annotated. The record is from RefSeq and is a predicted model, not a curated record. The transcript is spliced from 18 exons. NCBI's taxonomy places the organism in Eukaryota, Viridiplantae, Streptophyta, Magnoliopsida, Ericales, Balsaminaceae.
AACCCAAAACCAAACCCCAUCUUCUCUAUCUCUCCAAUCCAUAGGUUUGGAGAAUUGCGGCCAUGGAUAGAGCAAUUCUUCAUCGUUCUCUUUCAUGCGCGCCACUCGCCUGCACCAAACUCCUCUCUUGUUCUUCACACAGACUCGUCCGUCGUCUUCCCUCACUUUCGUAUCUCCCAAGGCAACAACACCGUUUACUCCAAAACUUACAUAAUCGCUCUUUUCUCGGAACUCGUCUGAAGCCGUCGAUCUCAUCACUCUCCGUUCCUUCUCUUAAUCUGAAACGACAUUUCUCUCUUCCUGCUAGAGCUGUAGCUUCACCUCUAAAAGAUCCUUCACCAGCUCUUGGAGCUGAUGAUGAAGUUGCUGAAAAGCUCGGGUUUGAGAAAGUAUCUGACCAGUUCCUUGAUGAGUGUAAAUCCAGAGCUAUUCUUUAUAAGCAUAAGAAGACUGGUGCGGAGAUUAUGUCCGUUUCGAAUAACGACGAGAAUAAAGUCUUUGGCAUUGUUUUCCGUACUCCUCCAAAAGAUUCAACUGGUAUCCCUCAUAUAUUAGAACAUAGUGUUCUUUGUGGUUCAAGAAAGUAUCCUCUGAAAGAACCAUUUGUGGAAUUGCUGAAAGGGAGUUUGCAUACUUUUCUCAAUGCAUUUACUUACCCAGAUAGGACUUGUUAUCCUGUUGCUUCUACAAAUACUAAGGAUUUCUAUAACUUGGUGGAUGUGUACCUGGAUGCUGUCUUUUUCCCAAAAUGUGUUGAAGACUCGCAGACGUUUCAACAAGAGGGUUGGCAUUAUGAACUAAAUGACCCUACAGAAGACAUAACAUAUAAAGGUGUUGUUUUUAACGAAAUGAAGGGUGUUUACUCUCAGCCUGAUAACAUUCUCGGGCGGACCACUCAACAGGCAUUAUUUCCUGAUAAUACCUAUGGUGUUGACAGCGGGGGUGAUCCACAAGUUAUUCCAAAGCUAACUUUUGAGGAAUUCAAGGAUUUUCAUAGCAAGUUUUACCAUCCAAGCAAUGCAAGGAUAUGGUUUUAUGGAGAUGAUGACUCCAAUGAACGACUUCGAAUUUUGAGUGAGUACCUGGAUAUGUUUGAGGCAAGUUCAGCUCCUCAUGAAUCGAGAAUCAAACCACAGAAGCUGUUUGCUAAACCAACACGGGUUAUUGAGAAGUAUCCUGCCGCCGAAGGCGAUGACCUAGAAAAGAAAAAUAUGGUAUGUCUCAACUGGCUGCUUGAUGAUAAACCCUUGGACUUGGAAACUGAACUAGCUUUGGGAUUUCUGGACCAUCUAAUGUUGGGAACUCCCGCUUCUCCUUUGAGGAAAAUCCUCUUAGAAAGUCGUUUGGGUGAGGCCAUUGUUGGUGGUGGAAUUGAAGAUGAGCUUCUUCAGCCCAAUUUUAGUAUUGGAUUGAAGGGUGUUUCUAAAGAAGAUAUCCAAAAGGUAGAAGAAUUAAUCAUUAGUACACUUAAAACUUUAGCUGAAGAAGGGUUUGAUUCGGAUGCUGUGGAAGCAUCAAUGAAUACUAUUGAGUUUUCCCUUAGAGAGAACAAUACUGGAUCAUUUCCACGUGGUUUGGCCUUGAUGCUUCGAUCCAUUGGAAAAUGGGUGUAUGAUAUGGAUCCCUUUGAGCCUCUCAAAUAUCAGAAACCCCUGAUGGCCCUGAAAGCCAGAAUAGCUGAAGAAGGAUCAAAAUCUGUUUUUGCCCCACUAAUUGAGAAAUACAUUUUAAAUAACACACAUCUUGUUACUGUUGAGAUGCAGCCUGACCCUGAGAAAGAUUCCCGUGAUGAAGCCCUGGAAAAAGAGGCACUAAAUAAGAUUAAAGCAAGCAUGACUGAAGAAGAUCUAGCGGAGCUAACACGUGCUACACAAGAAUUACGAUUAAAACAGGAAACUCCCGAUUCUCCAGAAGCUCUGAAAGUUGUGCCUUGCCUAUCAUUAAAUGACAUUCCUAAGGAGCCGAUAUCUAUUCCAAUAGAGAUUGGAGACAUCAAUGGGGUGAAGGUGCUGAAGCAUGAUCUAUUUACCAAUGAUGUCCUAUAUGCAGAAGUUGUAUUUGAUAUGAGUCUUGUUAAACAAGAGCUUCUCCCACUUGUGCCACUAUUCUGUCAAUCACUCAUGGAGAUGGGUACCAAAGACAUGGACUUUGUGCAGCUUAACCAGCUAAUUGGAAGGAAAACCGGAGGAAUAUCAGUUUAUCCUUUAACAUCAUCUGUACGGGGCAAAGAAAAUCCAUGUAGCCACAUAGUUGUUCGGGGCAAAGCUAUGUCUAAUCGCACUGAAGAUUUGUUUAACCUGGUCAACUGCAUCCUUCAAGAUGUUCAAUUUACUGAUCAAAAGCGGUUUAAGCAAUUUGUUUCACAAAGCAAAGCCAGAAUGGAGAACCGAUUGAGAGGGAGUGGUCACAGUGUUGCUGCGGCAAGGAUGGAUGCAAAGCUGAAUGUUGCAGGCUGGAUUUCUGAACAAAUGGGGGGUGUAAGUUAUCUGGAGUUUUUGCGAAGUCUAGAAGAGAAAAUUGAUCAAGAUUGGGAUGGAAUCUCGUCAUCUUUGGAGGAGAUUCGCCGGUCCUUAUUGUCAAGGAAUAGGUGUUUAGUAAACUUGACUACUGAUGGGAAUAAUCUUUCAAAAUCAGAAAAAUAUAUCAGCAAAUUUCUUGAUUUGCUUCCAACAUCUGCUACUCCACUUGAAUCAGUCUCUUGGAAUGGCCGUUUGUCUGCAAAUCAUGAAGCCAUUAUCGUACCCACUCAGGUAAAUUAUGUGGGUAAAGCAGCUAAUUUAUACGAUGUUGGUUAUGAACUGAAAGGUAGUGCAUACGUUAUUUCAAAGUACAUAAGCAACACAUGGUUAUGGGACCGUGUGCGUGUUAGUGGAGGAGCUUACGGAGGCUUCUGUGAUUUUGAUACACACUCAGGAGUCUUCUCUUUCCUCUCUUAUCGCGACCCGAAUUUGUUGAAGACACUUGAUGUGUAUGAUGCAACAAGUGAUUUCCUACGAGAACUUGAAAUGGACAAUGAUACUCUUACGAAAGCAAUCAUUGGUACUAUAGGAGAUGUGGAUUCAUAUCAGCUUCCUGAUGCCAAAGGUUAUAGUAGGUAAGUGACCUAUCUUUUCUCCUUCUCCUUUUCCUAUAUGUUGUUUAAUUUCCCAUUACUAAUAGUACAGCACAAUAGUAAAAUCCAUUUUUUUUAAUGAAAAUGUCAAUAAAACAACCAUGGCCUUGUUUGGAAAUCUCAAAUAACUUAAUAUCUCAUCAUGAAUCUCAGUCAAAUAUUUUAAAUCAUCCACUAAAAUACAAUAAUAUCCUCUAUUUAAAAAAUAUACAGUUAUAUUAUAUAUUAUAGCUCUAUUGUUUUUUUACCCAAAUUUCACACAAACAAUAUUAUUUCGUAAUAUCCCAAGGUCGAUCAAGACCCAUGAUAAACGUGGAAGUCAGUUUGGGUUUGACCAUAGGUAGAAAUCAAGCCAAAUAAGUACAAGUUAUUAUUGCUCCAUACAAAAACAGACUGAUGUUACAAGAGAAUACAGUCUGCACUUAGCUUUGUCAAACCUAUUAGUCAAUCAAUCUUUCAUUGGAAAAUAUCCAAAGUUAAAACUGAAAAUGAUUAUUUUUUUGGUUUAGUAUAAGAUUGUAUUUUGAAUCAUGAUCCAAAUUAUAUUCAGUUUUUUUUACUUUGUUUGGUACAAAAAUUAUUUUCUGCAUACUUUUUUGCUUCAUUUGUUAUGCAUAUUAUUUUCUGGAUCAAUAAUAGGUAGGUUUUUUGGAAUCAUCAUGUGAUGAUUGUGAGUAAUAAUAUAAAGUUGGUCCAUAAUUUACUGUUAGUGUUACUAUUGUAAUCUUUCUUAAUCCUCGAAAUUCCAUGUUCGAUUGACAUGACUUUGUUAUGGGCAGUAUGUUAAGGCACUUACUUGGAGUGACAGAAGACGAAAGGAAACUGAGACGGGAGGAGAUAUUAACGACGAGCCUGAAAGAUUUCAAAGAAUUCGCUGGUGUAAUUGAGGCAGUUAAAGAUAAAGGUGUUGUUGUGGCUGUGGCGUCUCCAGACGAUGUGGAAGCAGCUCACAAGGAGCGACCAAAUUUCUUUCAAACCAGAAAAGGUCUUUAAGUAGAAGAAUAAUCUAUCAUGUUGUAAACAAGAAAUUUAAGGUCAUUAUUAUUAUUUAAAAUAAUUGUUUCUCUCUUUUUGGUGUUGAGAGAAAAUAGAUAAUUUCAUAUGCUACAUAUUUUUUUCAUUUUA